UUCUGUCCAUUUCCAUCCUCCAGUUUUUGUGCAUGUUUUACCUAAGAUCAGCCCAGUUGAAUGUUCAUGUUAACAUCUACUGAUUUGUGAGUUCUGUAUGUGAGUGGUUCGUUUGGCAUGGAGAAGGAGUGUAGUGAGUAGUGUUGAUAAAUGCCAAUGGGAUUGUCAUUGAAUUAGCAGAAUGGCUUAGUUUGACAGAUGCUAUCCCAAUGUUUGGAUUUUGGAAUAUUACUUUUCUGUUUUAUCCAAGCUUGUUGACAUAUUGGGAUAUCAUUUAUCAAAUUCUGCCAUCCUGCCACCCUGCCACAGCUUGAAUUUUGUACAAUUUGAAGUACUCUUAUGCCCCACAACUUUGCACAGAAGGAGCUUGAAAUCUUUAUAUUGUUGGCUAUCAGUUAAUACGUGAACAAAUGUUUGAAGUUUCUUGGUGAAACUUGAAUGAAAAUAUUGCUUGGUAGAUGUUAGCAAUCUACCAAAUGUUUGAAGUUUCUUGGCUAUCACUUUUAUUUGUUAGCAAUCUCUUGUUGGUAGAUGUUAUCAAAUGUUUAUGUUAAAAGGAUUAUGUUUCCCCUAAGGUGACUUGCACCUCAUAUGUAACCUUGUUACACCGAAUGUGAAAGUAUGACAAUAUUAUGAUUUUUUUGUUUUUUUUUAUAGGGGUUUAUAACCCUGCCUAGAACAGUAGAAAAGUCAUUGAUAAUGUGAAUUGUGUGCUAGUACAUAUAUCGAUGCUUUUUGCUUGCAAUAUUUUGAAUAUUGGGAUUUUGACAUCUUUACAUUCCAACCGGACAAUAUGGUUAUCUUAGGACUCUAAUGUAUAGUCUCUCACUCACCAGCUCAUGUGGUUCUGAAUUGGGUUAGGUGCUUAACUCUUGUUACCAUUGGCUUGAACAUUUUCUUGUUCCCCAACCAUCAUCAGCAAUUCCUUGACCCCAAUCAUCUUUAAGAAAGAUGAGGUUAUAAAUUUGGACUCAAAUGCUUGGCAGCUAGAUCAAAGCUAUUCUGAUUCAAGUCUUAAUCACCGAAGUCCCUUGUUAGCUAUAUACACGCAUGAAUGAGUUUUGAGUUGGAGAGCUUGCCAACUUGGAGAGGGAGAACUCCGUCAAUUGAUUAAGGUAGAGGUCAGGAAUUGGUGAGGUAGACAUUCUUAAUGGCUCCUAUAGGGAAUUGUGCGGCAAUGCAAUCUCUUCAAAUUCUCAACUUUAUCCAAAGAUGCUAUAUAUUAUGCAGACAACCUCCUUGUUAAAUUAUCUUCCGAGUCAUACU
This 1266-nucleotide long non-coding RNA is filed under the name Rosa chinensis. RNAcentral's name for it is "sRNA RchiOBHm_Chr7g0208711". Lineage: Eukaryota; Viridiplantae; Streptophyta; Magnoliopsida; Rosales; Rosaceae. The record is from RNAcentral.